GUCGCGCCGGGUGCGAUUAUCGCGGGGCUUGCCUUCGAAUUCGAUCGUCCCGAUCCGUACGUGCGUGCUCUCGUUGUCACUCUCUUCGAUAUAUUGCAUACGUUCGCGACAGCUCGCGCGAGUUCUCAUUUAGCGCUAACAAUAAGCACACACCCCGUUUGUCUUCGGCGGCAAUUAUUAAUCUAUGUAGCGUCAGAUUUCGCACAUACAUGAUCUUUUGAAAGCGAGAGUAUUGUCUUAUAUAUCGAGGCGAAGAGUGAGGUAUCUUUCUUUCGUCUCCAAUCGCAAAAUGAGAUUAGCUGCUGUAGCUGCGAGGUAUAACGUUGAUAAGAACAGAUCAUAGAACGAAGAUCGCAGAAGGUGCAAUCGUAUCGAUGGUGCAAUUUGUUUCCGAUCGCGUCACCCGAUAUAUGCAAGACGGUUCUAUUCUCCCGAGGAUCUCGACUUCUUGCGACCUUCAGCGCCGUAUCACGAAGAGCCGCCGAAGAGCAUUGUCCCGUGAUCGCGGGUACCGGCUUUUACUUCGCCCUUUGCAUGCAUAUUUCGGAAAAAUCGGAACCCAGACUUGGUUCGGAAGGGGGCGGUCGUUAAGCGACUCUCGAGAAAAAAAUAGACGCGAAAGGGAGUGCCCAGACAAACCUUGACCUUGAGUAUACUUGCUAUUCUCGCUCUUAUGGUUCGCGAUAGAUUACGAAUCUUCGCAUUCGUCGUCUUCUCGUCUUCUCGUCUUCCGCGACUUUACUUAUAAAGGGAACUUUUCCCAGAACGAUAAAUCGUAAUUACGAUAAUAGUAAUUAGGUUUCUAUCUGAUUCGGAAUUUUUUAUUCCCUCGAUUCAUCAAGUAUGCACAAGGUCCUUAUCGUUUCUACUCUUUAGUCAAUUUAUAAUUAUAUCCUUUCUCGAUAUUAAUUACUUCCCGUAAUUAAACCUCCCCAAAUAACGUACGUGCUUUACUAUGCAAUGUAUAGACGUAUAUGCAGAAUACAUGCGUUUUUUUCUCUCUCAUUUGUCAGAACUUCUCCCACGAAGAUGCCCCUAAACUUUUCAAAUUACGCUAACGUAUACGUUAAUUUUCGAUGUAAAUCUAAUCAUUUACACGUAUGAUACUACGAAGUUACAAAUUAAUUUUCGUUUAUUGUGUGAUUAAAAAAAAAUUAAAUUA
Cataglyphis hispanica is the source of this 1162-nucleotide long non-coding RNA. RefSeq lists it as uncharacterized. The transcript is spliced from 2 exons. Lineage: Eukaryota; Metazoa; Arthropoda; Insecta; Hymenoptera; Formicidae. The record is from RefSeq and is a predicted model, not a curated record.